Molecule: long non-coding RNA, 876 nt
Filed under: Marmota monax (woodchuck)
Lineage: Eukaryota; Metazoa; Chordata; Mammalia; Rodentia; Sciuridae
Source: RNAcentral
UGAUCCCCCUGCCUCUUGUUUACAGGUGUGCACCACUGCCACUGCACCCUUAGGAGGCUUCUUUAAGAAAAAUGAUAGCUGGCUGCUGUAGCACACAACUAUAAUGUGGGAGCCUUGGGAGUUUGAGACAAGAGGAUCCCAGCUGUGUGAUCUUGGGCCGGUGACUUAACUGCUCUCUGCUCAGUGUCCACAUCCGAAAGAUGAGAAAACCAAGAAGCUGAUAAAAGAUACUUCAGAUAGGUGCUAUGGCAGCUCCAAAGAUGAAGACGCAAAGCACUUAGCCUAGUGUCUGGACCAUGGUAACUGCACAAAAAAACCUUCCUUAUUAUUAGGAGUGUCAUUAUCAUUUUGAAUUUUCACCCCAUAUGAUUUCCUUAUCACAAAGCCUCACUUUCUGAGCAGAGUUUAAGAAAGAAAAAGAAAAUGAAGUCCAAGUUCACACGUCUUGCUAAUACAACUGUGGGUACGGUACACAUGUGGCAUGACUAUGAAGCCUAGCCCCACUCUGAAAUAAUUAUGGCACAUCCAGAGGACAGCAAGCGUUCUGCCUGCUCCAUUAAAUGUCUCCUUAGCCUGAGAGCUGAUUCAUCCUGAGGUCAUAAAGCAUCUAUCUUCAAAACACUGUAUGAAUAUCCCAUUGUGCAAUUAAGUCAGACCUGUCUAGUUUUGCCUUCCUUGAGAGAAAUGUGCUUAUUCAGCAAAAGUGAAAAGGGUCAACAUAAACUAGUCACAUAUAUAUAUAUAUAUAUAUAUAUAUAUAUAUAUAUAUAUAUAUAUAUAUAAAUGUGUCCUGCAACCUGUACACGUGGAAAAAUGAGAAUCCAUACCCCAUUUGAAUCAAAUGUAUGAUGUCAAGAUCAUUGUAUUGUCAUGAGC